CUCGUAGUUGGAUUUCUGUUGUAUUUUUAUAAUAUUAUUAAGGUAAUAUUUAUAAUAUCAACAUCCUUCCUAUUAUAUUUUUAAUAUAUAGGAAAUUUUACUUUGAGAAAAUUAGAGUGCUUA
Molecule: ribosomal RNA, 123 nt
Filed under: Cryptosporidium serpentis
Lineage: Eukaryota; Apicomplexa; Conoidasida; Eucoccidiorida; Cryptosporidiidae
Description: partial 18S ribosomal RNA
Source: RNAcentral